CAUGAUAACUCAAGUAAUCUAAGUAUUAUGUCAAAAUAUCAGCCUCUUAUUAGAAAUCAGAGUCUUACCCAAACUGUCAGUUUUCCCAGCUUUCAUUUAUAGAUUAAAGGUGACUAUAAUUACUGAACUUUAAAAAAAAGAGAGUCGUGGUAUCUCCAUUAAAGAUAUGUUGCUCAUUUAUUCUGGAUCUUAUAUUGAUAGGUAAUACCAGAAGAUUUCAGUAUAGCCGAUAAAAUACAGCAGAUCCUAACCAACACAGGUUUUAGUGACAAACGGGCACGUUCCAUGGACAUAGAUGAUUUUAUCAGGUUGCUACACGGAUUUAAUGCAGAAGGUAUCCACUUCUCCUAGCCAUCUGAAAACUAUUUUUUCAAGACCAAGAAAAAAAUGAAGUUACACAAUCCUAAUAUUUGAGAAUACCACUGAUUUUGUUCUAUAGGACAUCAUUUACUUUUUAAAUUAUUUAAUAAUAACUUUUAUACCAUUGAUUAUCCUGUAUGUGAAAGGUGGUUGUUUUUUUUUUAUAAAUAUAUAUUUUCUCUAGUGUUUUAAAUAUACUGCAAAGGGCAGGGUUCAAUAUAAUGGUCUUCAAGUUUGAAAGUCGCGGACAUGCACAACCAUAUACUUAAGCUUUGUAACGAUUUAUUGUAUGAAGACAUUACUUUUAUUCACCAUGUUUUAGACCGUGAGGCUCACUGAGGCCUACAGCUCACUCAACUAGUCAAAAAGCUGUCGUCCUCCUCAUUCACAUACUGUAAGGAGCUUAAGGUGGCUUCUCUUCACACCAUUCCUAUGUGUUAAUGCUUGCCUGCUGCAUCACGAACAACACAAUUCUGGGAGCUAGAGUCUGCUGCACUGACAGGGCAGGCAUGUUCUGCAUAUGACAAUACCUGUGAAAUGCAGAAGCGGAGAAAAAACCAACUCCUGUGUGGUAAAUCACAUUUUCUUAAGGGAGACAGGAUCUACAAUUUCAAAUUUAGAGGAAUUCUGGAAGGUUUUGUCAAUCAAACAGCUUGUAUAAUAAUUUAUUUAAUUCCUUUAUCGAAUGAGAGCUUUUUCUUUUUUUUUUUUUUUUGGAGCUGGGGACCGAACCCAGGGCCUUGCGCUUGCCAGGCAAGCACUCUACCUCUGAGCUAAAUCCCCAACCUCUAAGAGGUCUUUUUGAGGUCAACUCUAAUCUCAGAAUCUUGCCUCAGCCCCCUAAAUAAAUUCUGGGUUGCACUUGUACAUUGCAAAGUAAGUUUUCCAGUUUCAGCUUUUUAAAAGAACAGACUACAACUACAGGCUCCUGGUUCCCUGACUUCUAGAUAACUAAAGUUCCACUACCUAGUGUUUCUUUUUAAGCUACUUAAAAUUCGUCAGAAGAUAAAUGCUGUUCAUAUAUUUUAAUAAAUUAGCUGUUUUAUUUAUAUAAGGAAACUAGCUUCAUUGGAUAUUUGGCUCUCUUUAUACCUAAAACUUAAAAGGAAUAUGUCCAAUUAGUUUAGAAAGAUUGCUAAGUAAACUUAAGAAUACAAAUAGUUUGCCUACAGUUUUUCCUCCAAAAUUCAGCUUCAAAGUCAUAGUGAACACUUAUGUUAGCUAUGAAUAGUUAGCAGCCUUUAAGUUUGAGAAGUUUCUAAAGAAUAAUGUACAACAGAAAAAUUUCACUUAGCUGCAGAAGCAGCUUUUGUCACAUGAGUAGUAACUGUCCUUGAAGUGCAUGUUUAUCGUCAGCGUCGAACAACAGCUUUGCAGAGUUAGCUCUUACCACUUCUACCUUAGGGAGACGUUUCUGCUUGGCCAGGCUUUCUCAGCUAGUUUUCUGCUGACUAAAGCUUCCCUCUGUAAAGCUGAGGCUCAUCUUACCUCCCAGAAUGUUUACUGACUACAGAUCAGGACGGAGCCAAUAAGGCAACAUAUCCCUAUUAGGACCUUCAAAGACAAUGCCUGUCCAAUGCCAAUAACAUUAAACUAUUUUGCAAGUUAUAAGCAA
This 1975-nucleotide long non-coding RNA is filed under the name Rattus norvegicus (Norway rat). RNAcentral describes it as "long non-coding RNA NONRATT014989". Lineage: Eukaryota; Metazoa; Chordata; Mammalia; Rodentia; Muridae. The record is from RNAcentral.